This 233-nucleotide ribosomal RNA is filed under the name Subtercola sp. E2HC-12. RNAcentral describes it as "partial 16S ribosomal RNA". It matches the Rfam family "Bacterial small subunit ribosomal RNA", at positions 35 to 257 of the family's 1533-position model. Lineage: Bacteria; Bacillati; Actinomycetota; Actinomycetes; Micrococcales; Microbacteriaceae. The record is from RNAcentral.
GACGAACAGCUGGCGGCGUGCUUAACACAUGCAAGUCGAACGAUGAUGCUGGGGCUUGCUUCAGCGGAUUAGUGGCGAACGGGUGAGUAACACGUGAGUAACCUGCCCUUGACUCUGGGAUAAGCGUUGGAAACGACGUCUAAUACCGGAUACGACGGCCCGCCGCAUGGUGUGGUUGUGGAAAGAUUUUUUGGUCAGGGAUGGACUCGCGGCCUAUCAGGUUGUUGGUGGGG